Long non-coding RNA from Sinocyclocheilus rhinocerous, 471 nucleotides. RefSeq lists it as uncharacterized. NCBI's taxonomy places the organism in Eukaryota, Metazoa, Chordata, Actinopteri, Cypriniformes, Cyprinidae. The transcript has 3 exons. The record is from RefSeq and is a predicted model, not a curated record.
GUGUUUCUUCACAGAAGUGGUUGACUGAAGGAGAUCCAGUGACUCUGAUCUGUGAGGUUAAAGGCUCCUCUACAGGCUGGACAUUCAGCUGGUACACUAAAACUGUUUCAUCAGACUACAGAAGUCAUCAUUAUAAGACACUCUCAGACAGCAGCAGAGGAUCUGGAGGAAACUACACUGUCAGUUCUGCUGCUCUAAAUCACACAGGAGUUUAUGUGUGCAGAGCAAAGAGAGGAAAACUAGCCUAUAGCACAUGGUACAGCAACACACAGUUAAUAUGGGUCACUGGUGGUUCUCCUCCAGUCUCUCUGAUCGUCAGUCCCAGCAGAACUCAACACUUCACAUCUGUCUCUCUCUCUCUGAGCUGUGAGGACCAGAGUAACUCUGAUAGAUGGAGAGUGAGAAGAUACUCAGACAUUUUGGGACUGUUCGAUUGUUCAUCACGCUGGGGAUCACAAACAGGAUCUACAU